CUAGAAAAAUAAGUCUACGCUAAAUCACUGAAUCAUUUUUUCCCCUUAGAUCUAAACUGCAGAGGUAGAAAGCAGAAAACUUGGGAAAUGACAGUAGUGGCUCAAAUCAGCCUUUUCCUAUCAAACCACUUAGUGAAUCAAAAAACCGCUUGUUGGACAGUGAAUCUCAGUGGCUGGAGAAUGGAGCUGAAGAAGGCAUCAUCAAAUCAG
This 210-nucleotide small RNA is filed under the name Pan troglodytes (chimpanzee). RNAcentral describes it as "processed transcript". The record is from RNAcentral. Lineage: Eukaryota; Metazoa; Chordata; Mammalia; Primates; Hominidae.